UACGGGGGGGGCAAGCGUUGUUCGGAAUUACUGGGCGUAAAGGGAUCGUAGGCGGCCAACUAAGUCAGACGUGAAAUCCCUCGGCUUAACCGGGGAACUGCGUCUGAUACUGGAUGGCUUGAGUUUGGGAGAGGGAUGCGGAAUUCCAGGUGUAGCGGUGAAAUGCGUAGAUAUCUGGAGGAACACCGGUGGCGAAGGCGGCAUCCUGGGCCAACACUGACGCUGAGUGAGCGAAAGCCAGGGGAGCAAACGGG
RNAcentral lists this ribosomal RNA (254 nucleotides) under uncultured bacterium. RNAcentral's name for it is "partial 16S ribosomal RNA". It matches the Rfam family "Bacterial small subunit ribosomal RNA", at positions 524 to 776 of the family's 1533-position model. The record is from RNAcentral.